CAAACAUUUAUAAUGCACUUUAUUAUUUUCAAAGCACUUUACAUAAACUAGCAGAAGUUCAUUUAGUCGUUUAAAACACUACAAUGGCGUCAUUGGUUAUUUCUUGCUGGUUGUAGUUUUCACUUAAUGUGGCCUUGUCUUUCCCAAGAGAGUAUAAGUUCCUUGAGGGGAAAUAUUCUAUUUCCUGAUUCUUUUAAAGACUCCUCAGGGCCAUACCUACUUUUUAAAACUAAUAUGUAAUUUCACCAGUGUUGGGAGUUCCCGGUCAGGGAUUUCCUUUCUCAGUUCCAAUUAGUAACUUUUCUACAAUUUUUACUCCUGGAGGGUUGCCCAAAUCAUUGAGAGGGUAAGUGAUUUGACCAAGGACACAUAGCCAGAACCCAGAUCUACCUAUGCCAACUGCUUUUGGCCAUAUCCAUGGUUCACAUUUUAAAAAUGUUUAUUGAUUAAGCACUGAGUGUGGAGUUAGAGGACUCCCAAAGCUCCCACUUUCUAUCUGGGUCAUCUUAGACAAUACACUUGGGCGUCUCUCUGCACCUCCGUUUGUUUCAUCUGUACAACAAACUGGUCAGAUUAGAUUGUUCCUGAGGUCCCUUCCAGCCUUAUAUGUUUUCUGGAAGAAGAUUUUCCAGAGAAUCAUUCGAAUAUUGGCAUUUUUGCUUUAUAAGAUCACAUAUUCAAAGGCAAAAAGGGCUUGAGACGUGUUCUUUUCCAACACUUCCAUUUUAGGGAUCAGGAAGUUGAGCCCCAAAGAAAGGUGAAGAUCUCUUCAUCCCUAGAUCUGGACUCCAAAUUCCACGUUCUUCCUUUUCUGUUUCUUCUUGUCAUUAUGCUCUCCAUUCAUUUGCUCUGGGUGCCCUGUGGGCAGGGUGGCUGCUGCCUAACAUGCCUGGGAAACAACUAUAGCAACAAGGGGUGAGCAAACAAACAAGGUUCUAGGGAUGGUUGCUGAAGGCCAUGCCACUCGGUGUGGAACCUUGGAAGGAAUACAUUUUGUUUGGAGAUGAAACAUCACUUUCUUUCCAACCAGACAUUCCCACAACCAAUACAUCCUGCUAUUAAUGAACAAUUACAAUUGGGAGGACCUGGGAGCACUUCCUAGCGGUGAGACCCUGGGUAAGUCACUUAACCCUACUUGCCUAGCCAUUCUGUCCUGGAACCAGUACACAGUCUUGAUUCUUAGAUGAGUGGUAAGGGUUUUUUUUUUUUUUUAAUGAUGUUCAAAGUAGAAAAUACUCUACAAUACCUACUAUCAAUUCUAAGACACAAGAUCAGGAUUUUUUUUUGUCAAUCACCCUAGCUUACAUUUAUACAUAAGCUGGAACCUGUCUGGGUCUGCUCUGCUCUCUACUUACAAAAUCCUGCUCAUGAAGCCCCUGAUCUCAACUAAAUGUGUCACAUCAGAGUGAAGCAAAGAGGCAUGAACUUAAAAUAGAAUGAAGUAAAUAAGAAAAAAAACCAGCCAGCCCUCACUCCAUCUUCUCUUCCCCAGAACUCCCUCCCCCAAGCCUUUAAAGAGACCUGGGAUGCUCUGAGUCCCUUCUCUGGGUUCCCCAGCUGCCUUACUAGCAAAAUACAGCAGGCCAGGGAAGCCAAUGAGGAAGGUGGCUUGCCCUUUGGACAAGCCCAGGACCUUC
RNAcentral lists this long non-coding RNA (1637 nucleotides) under Monodelphis domestica (gray short-tailed opossum). Its description in RNAcentral is "lncRNA (ENSMODG00000049606.1)". The record is from RNAcentral. Lineage: Eukaryota; Metazoa; Chordata; Mammalia; Didelphimorphia; Didelphidae.